Long non-coding RNA from Zophobas morio, 558 nucleotides. RefSeq lists it as uncharacterized. The record is from RefSeq and is a predicted model, not a curated record. Lineage: Eukaryota; Metazoa; Arthropoda; Insecta; Coleoptera; Tenebrionidae. The transcript has 3 exons.
UACUACUCUUGUUUAUUAAUAAAAUUUUAUAGACGUUAGUAUCAUUGGGCCAACAUUCGUCGAAUAUCCUUUUCGGUAGGGAUCGUCAGAGAUCGCUCGACUAAAUACUGAGACAAAAUAAUUUCCUGAUGUUGAAAGUCCGCUAUAUAUGACCUACAAAUACAAAAAUUAGAAUAAAAUAAAUCCGCCCCUGUUCUCCAUUUUGUCCACUGCCAAGUUUCGACCGAGGGUCUGCUAUUUAUGAUUUUACGGAGUAUGGGCUUAGUGUUCUUACAGAUGUCUCCGAUAGUAAAUAAAUAGUCCUUAGAAGGAACCAUGAGUCCUCACCGAAGCCUAAAAUCACACAACAACCAUCAUAUUUUCACUAGACAAAUCUUUUCACAUGGACAGAUGACUAAAGAGGAUCAUAAACUACACAAUUAAAUCAUGUUUUAAAAAUACGUCCUAAUUUUCGUUUGAUAUUUACUACACGUUAGAUACGAGGGAAGUUCUGUGUAAAUAAAUAUGUACCUAUUUGGAUUUUAAUCCUCAGCUUAACAAUACUUAUAAUACUCUCAG